This is a long non-coding RNA of Triticum dicoccoides, 1960 nucleotides long. RefSeq lists it as uncharacterized. The record is from RefSeq and is a predicted model, not a curated record. NCBI's taxonomy places the organism in Eukaryota, Viridiplantae, Streptophyta, Magnoliopsida, Poales, Poaceae. The transcript has 2 exons.
CCUCCCCUCGCCCUGCCCCGCCGCCCCUCGCCGCGCCGCCACUUCUCCUCCGGGCGCAACCGCCGUGGCCUCCACGACGAGCUCGGUGAGGAGACAAGUCUAUGGGUAAUUUGCGUCUGAGGCAUUUCUAUGAUGUCACACCCUUUUCACCUUGGAGAUCUGAUGCAUCCGUAAUAAUGCUCAAUCUGUCAUUCCAGUUUACUUUCUGCGCUUCUAUUUUUUUGUCAUUUUUAUCUAGUAUAAUUCAUGUCCUUAUGGUUCUUCUAGUUUUGAGUUGGAACAUUUGGUGGUGCAAUGAUUAUAAAACAUUCCUCGUACUGAUGGGAGAUCCAUGUGAACGACUCCUAUACACCCAUAGAAUCUGAGCACCAAUCAUGCUUCUUCUGGAUUCAUUGGAUCCUUGUUUUUUUGUGUUUUUUUGUCCUGAGGUUUGUUUUACAUUUGGAUCCGUGUUUAUUUGUCUUGAGGUUUGUUUUGCAUUUGGAUUUGAGGCUAAGUGUUUAUCUGAAUUUGUUGAACUUUUAGAUUUGUCACCUUCAGAGCUAAUAUUUGAUUGACAUUAGUUGUCUUGUCCUGCUCCAAGACGCCAAACUCUUGUAAAUAAUUCAACGGUUUAAAUAUUGUGCGAUUUGUUAAAGAUUUAUUCUUGGUGUUGUUUGUUCCAAUUGUGCAGUGAUUAUAAAACAUUCCUCGUACUGAUGGGAGAUCCACAUGAAUGACUCCUAUACGCCCAUAUAAUCUGAGCACCAGUUAACCAUUUGAUCUCAGUCAAUCUGUUUUUUCUGAUUCCAUUUUGUUUUGAGGACGGUUAAGGUUGAUAUUUUGUCUUUGUCGUAGCUGGCAUCUUCUUGCCUCCCACCAUUCUUUCAUACCUCUCCAAACUGCUUUCCCCUGUUGAGAUUCUUCAGCUGAUGAUUGGCUUGCUUCUGUAAGUGUAUUUGUUUGUUUGUGGCCAGGGAUUAAACUAAAUUAAUAGACAAGCAUAUGUCCGAAUUUUCUUCAUGUGGAACGAUCUAAUCUUCUCUAUGAGGCCAAUGAUCUUGCUCCUAUCUGCAAUUAUAGUUGAUGUGUUUUAUGGUUUCAUGGUGCUGAUGAUGAUUAGUGUGAACCUUUCUCAAUGAAAUCACUAAUGAUUACAUAACCUACUGCCUUCCUUCUGAGGCAUCAUGAUUCCUGGUACCCUGUUUCUGUUUUCUUUGUCUUUUUGUUUUUAUGCCUCUUGAAUUGGUGUUUGCCCAGGUCGAGUGAUGAUUACAAGUGCAUAGUUCAUAUGAUCAAAUCAUGAUUACAUGAACAAAAAUAGUCUUUCGCUCCUAUCUGAUGACCUUUCAACCUAAACCUUUUACACGAGAAUCAAAUAGUUUAGUUCAUCUAACCUAACGCUUUUCAUUUGAAAUUCAGACAAUUUAGUUUCUAUGAUUCCUUAGAGGACGGUGAAGAUUGAUAUUUGGUCUCGUUCGUCGUAACUGGCAUUUAUUUGCCUUGCCGACCAUCCUGCUAUAUCACCACCCAUAUUCUGAGUCCUCUUAUUACAUUAUAUCUGGGCUUGACAUGUUAAUUCUUUUUUAUUAUUUGGCCAUUGAUUAAACUAAAUUAAUAGAAUGAUUUCCAUUUGGCUAAUCAAUGUGCUGAAUUUUUUAUUUGCUUGGAUGUGAGCAGUGAUGAGACAAUUCAAUAAAUAUGAUCUUCCAGGUGUGAUUGUCAAUCGCUACGUUCUUACUGAGCUCCUAUCCCGUUGCUUUUGGGAUUUACUUCUAUUGUUGUUGGCGAUCUGUUAACUGAUAUUGUAAAUUUAGUUUGAUUGCAAGAAUAAAGUUUUAUUGUGUACAAUAGAUACAUUGCUGGUUGCAAAGAUUUUCCAAACCAGCUUGAGGAUGAUGAUUUCAUAUUUGUCGCCCCAGUCUUAGGGUCUGCAUUGUUGGAUCUGUGCUGAUUGACAUACUUCUGAAUCUGACUCGGU